GGUUCCCUCAGUAGUAGAGGAGACAGCGGAGGAUCCUCCUGAGGUGGUGGCAGGAGCAGUGGAGGUGACAUCAGUGGGGGUGACACCGGUGGAGGUGACACCAGUGGAGGUGACAUCCGUGGUGGUGCCACCAGUGGAGGAGCCAUCUGUGGAGGUGACACCAGUGGAGGUGACACUGAUGGAGGUGACGUCUGUGGAGGUGACAGUGGUGGGGGUUCCCUCAGUAGUAGAGGAGACAGUGGAGGUCCCUGCUGAGGUGGUGGCAGGAGCAGUGGAGGUGACAUCGGUGGGGGUGACACUGAUGGAGGUGACAUCGGUGGUGGUGACACCAGUGGGGGUGACACCAGUGGAGGUGACACUGAUGGAGGUGCCACCAGUGGAGGUGACACUGGUGGAGGUUCCCUCAGUAGUAGAGGAGACAGCGGGGUUCUGUCCUGAGAUGGUGGCAGGAGCAGUGGAGGUGACACUGGUGGAGGUGACACCGGUGGAGGUGACAGCGGUGGAGGUGACACUGGUGGAGGUGACAGCAGUGGAGGUGACAUCGGUGGAGGGUCCUUGCAGGGUUGUGGAAGAGGCUGUAGAGGACGCUCCUGAGGCAGUGGGAGAUGAUGUGGGGGUGACACUGGUGGAGGUGACAUCUGUGGUGGUGCCACCAGUGGAGGUGACAGCAGUGGUGGUUCCCUCAGUAGAAGAGGAGACAGCAGAGGAUCCUCCUGAGGUGGUGGCAGGAGCAGUGGAGGUGACAUCAGUGGGGGUGACACUGGUGGAGGUGACAGCAGUUGGGGUUCCCUCAGUAGCAGAAGAGACAGUGGAGGUCCCUGCUGAGGUGGUGGCUGGAGCGGUGGAGGUGACAUCGGUGGAGGUGACACCAGUGGAGGUGACAUCGGUGGUGGUGACACCAGUGGGGGUGACAUUGGUGGAGGUGACAGCGCUGGAGGUGACACUGGUGGAG
Molecule: long non-coding RNA, 952 nt
Filed under: Numida meleagris (helmeted guineafowl)
Lineage: Eukaryota; Metazoa; Chordata; Aves; Galliformes; Numididae
Description: lncRNA (ENSNMEG00000002126.1)
Source: RNAcentral